UACGUAGGCAGCAAGCGUUGUUCGGAGUUACUGGGCGUAAAGGGUGUGUAGGCGGUUGGGUGAGUGUGGUGUGAAAUCUCCCGGCCUAACUGGGAGGGUGCGCUACAAACUGUCUGACUAGAGUAUGGGAUGGGAGAGUGGAAUUCCUGGUGUAGCGGUGAAAUGCGUAGAUAUCAGGAGGAACACCAAUGGCGAAGGCAGCUCGCUGGGACGGUACUGACGCUGAGACGCGAAAGCGUGGGGAGCAAACAGG
This 253-nucleotide ribosomal RNA is filed under the name uncultured bacterium. RNAcentral's name for it is "partial 16S ribosomal RNA". It matches the Rfam family "Bacterial small subunit ribosomal RNA", at positions 524 to 776 of the family's 1533-position model. The record is from RNAcentral.